AUGGGGCUGAUGGCGCUGAAGCGGCUCAUGUGCAUGAAGCCGGAGCAGAUGCGGAAACAUGGCCGUAGCCAAUCCCACGAUGGACUUGUUUCUUCAUUGGCUAGAAGAAACAGCAAACCUUCCGUUGAUCUAAAAACCAGCGAAGCCUCCGAAAAGGAUGACAAUUCUCAUUGUGGCAAAAGACCAAGUUACCUGGGUCCAGACCUUCCAGAGGAAAUCUGGCACCAUAUACAUUCUCUAGUGCCAAUGCGAGAUGAUGCCAGGGCUGCCUGUGUGUCUCGUGCCUUUCAUCACUCCUGGAGAUGCCAUCUUAAUCUCACCUUCACCAAGGAAACAAUGUGUUCAAAGAAAAGUUUAUUCGAGGGAACAGAGGACUCAAAUGAUAGAAGAAAUAGAAGAGAGUACAACAACAAUAUUGACCAUAUUCUGACGAACCAUAGAGGCGUUGGUGUGAAGACGUUCAUACUUGAAUUCCAUGGUCCUUACAAUACCAAAUCCUACAAUCGUCUCAAUAGUUGGCUUCAGAUUGCUAUUACACCAGUGAUGGAAGAACUUACCCUUAUACUGUUGUCGGAGAAGGCAAAAUACGAGUUCCCUUGCUCACUUUUAUCUGAAAAAGGUGGAAACACUAUACGGCAUCUCCACCUUGACAAUUGUGUAUUGCGUCCCACAGUUGCCCUUAAUUUGAGAUGCCUGACAGAGCUGUAUCUGUAUCAAGUGCGUAUUACGGGGGAUGAGUUAGGCUGCCUUCUUUCCAAUUCAUUUGCUCUGGAGAAAUUGACACUCAUAUAUUGUUAUGAUAUAAUUCGCCUUGAGAUACCUUGCCUGCUGCAGCGGCUAAGCUACAUGGAGGUGUUUGAUUGCUUGAGACUUCAAGUUAUAGAGAACAAAGCUCCAAAUAUCUCCAGCUUUCAGUUUGCAGGUAAUGAAGUACAACUCUCACUUGAAAAAUCAUUGCAAGUGAAGUCCCUUAAGUUGGACCAUAGGUGUGUCAUCAGUUAUGCUAUUGACAAGCUUCCAUCCAGUGUGCCAAAUCUGGAGAGACUCAACAUAAUAUCUCCUCGUGAGAUGGUCAACGCACCGAUGGUACCUAGCAAAUUUCUCCACCUCAAGUCCUUGAGUAUUACUAUUCGUGGGUGGUGGAGCCUCAACAGGGAAUAUGACUUUGAUUUCUUUCCUGGAUGCUUCUCCUUCCUUGGAGACUUUUGUCUUGUCUGUAUCAGUGGAGAAGAAGUAUGA
This 1239-nucleotide ribosomal RNA is filed under the name Triticum aestivum (bread wheat). Its description in RNAcentral is "partial small subunit ribosomal RNA". Lineage: Eukaryota; Viridiplantae; Streptophyta; Magnoliopsida; Poales; Poaceae. The record is from RNAcentral.